Protopterus annectens (West African lungfish) is the source of this 281-nucleotide long non-coding RNA. RefSeq lists it as uncharacterized. The transcript is spliced from 2 exons. The record is from RefSeq and is a predicted model, not a curated record. Lineage: Eukaryota; Metazoa; Chordata; Ceratodontiformes; Protopteridae.
UGUUGCCCGCUCUGUGCCAGUCAACAGCUCUGAGCUUAAUGAGACUCUGGUAAUAACAGCAGGAACUACCACUAUGGCUAUUAAAGCAAGGAUUGUCAUUGAAGGGACUGAGCAAGGUUUUCUCCCUGUUGCUGUUCUGAUAUCAUUUCAUGGCUAUGAAAUUGAAUCCAUUUUGUCUCAUGGAAAUACCAGUUAUGAGAUGAACUCAAAAAUUAUUACUGCAACAAUUUCAAGCAAAAUCAAGAAUGAUCUCAGUCAUCCAGUUAUUUUUACAUUUCUUA